Molecule: non-coding RNA, 177 nt
Filed under: Betaproteobacteria bacterium
Lineage: Bacteria; Pseudomonadati; Pseudomonadota; Betaproteobacteria
Also listed under: 2 other names
Description: 6S RNA
Rfam family: 6S / SsrS RNA
About the family: E. coli 6S RNA was the first non coding RNA to be sequenced, but its function was unknown until recently. It consists of 184 nucleotides that fold into an extended hairpin structure with a large single-stranded internal bulge.
Source: RNAcentral
UGCUCCCUGCGAUGUACGUUACGGCUGCGAAUUCUUUGAACCAAUAAAUUUGCUCUGGUUGCAGCAACAUCUGGCGCUGGUGUGCGCGUUACACGUUAAUGUGCCUGAAGCGCUUGCGCUGUGACCACUUGAACCCUAGGUUCAAGAUAGCGGCCCAACGGCAUAGGCGGGGAGCAC